This is a long non-coding RNA of Medicago truncatula (barrel medic), 615 nucleotides long. RefSeq lists it as uncharacterized. The transcript is spliced from 3 exons. The record is from RefSeq and is a predicted model, not a curated record. Lineage: Eukaryota; Viridiplantae; Streptophyta; Magnoliopsida; Fabales; Fabaceae.
CCUGGUAGAUGAUGAUCUCUAGUUUAAUUCUUUUGAACUGAUUCAUUUUUUAUGGAAUAAUACUAAUUUUAGAUUUUUUAAUGACAUUGGAGUUUCUUGAUUACCUCUUUCAUUUUAUUUUUUUUUAUCAUUUCUUACAUUCUUUGUUAGUUGGUUUGGUGAUGUCUAUCAAUUGUACUUAUUUUUUACAGGAAAACAAUAAGUUCUGAGAGGAUGUUGUUGAUGCACUUUGUUCUUUGGCUCAUGCACUUCGUGACGAUUUCAAUAUUUUUAUACCAUCAAAAGAUUGACCUGACAACUCUAUGUUGAGAUUGUUAGUGAUCCGCUGGAUGAUGUCGAGAAUGAUCUUUAUGAAGCUGGAUCUGAUGCUCACAGACUCAAUAGUCAUCAGGGAUCUGCUUGCAACUGGGUGUGCAUGCUUUGAGACGUUGAGUCCCUUGGCUUAUAGUCUUCUGGCAGAAAUUAUACAUCAUGUUCGGCAAGAUACUUCUUUAUCAUAGGCUGCAGGUCUCUUUGAGUUUUUUGGAUGUUGGCUGCCUUUCAUGUUGUUGGCUGCUCUUUGAAUUUUUUGGAGUUAAAUUAUAUAUGUUGGAUUUGAUUUAGUAGUUUAAACUA